AGCGAACGCUGGCGGCAGGCCUAACACAUGCAGGUCGAACGAAGUCUUCGGACUUAGUGGCGGACGGGUGAGUAACACGUGGGAACGUGCCCUUUGGUACGGAAUAACUCAGGGAAACUUGAGCUAAUACCGUAUGUGCCCUUCGGGGGAAAGAUUUAUCGCCAUUGGAGCGGCCCGCGUCUGAUUAGCUAGUUGGUGAGGUAAAGGCUCACCAAGGCUACGAUCUGUAGCUGGUCUGAGAGGAUGAUCAGCCACAUUGGGACUGAGACACGGCCCAAACUCCUACGGGAGGCAGCAGUGGGGAAUCUUGCGCAAUGGGCGAAAGCCUGACGCAGCCAUGCCGCGUGAAUGAUGAAGGUCUUAGGAUUGUAAAAUUCUUUCACCGGGGACGAUAAUGACGGUACCCGGAGAAGAAGCCCCGGCUAACUUCGUGCCAGCCGCCGCCGUAA
This 449-nucleotide ribosomal RNA is filed under the name uncultured bacterium. RNAcentral's name for it is "partial 16S ribosomal RNA". It matches the Rfam family "Bacterial small subunit ribosomal RNA", at positions 29 to 523 of the family's 1533-position model. The record is from RNAcentral.